Molecule: long non-coding RNA, 201 nt
Filed under: Elaeis guineensis (African oil palm)
Lineage: Eukaryota; Viridiplantae; Streptophyta; Magnoliopsida; Arecales; Arecaceae
Description: long non-coding RNA (EGUI_LNC079967)
Source: RNAcentral
UCCCUUUUCAGAGAAGAUAGGGCGACUGGCCCAAGUGGCCCGCCCUAUCGCCAGAUUCUGAAACUUUGACGAUGCUUUUUUUAGUUGCACAGAUGCCUACAGCUGUUGCUGCUGCUGUUGCAUGGCCUGCACUGCUUUGGUGAGGCCCCUGAUCUGCUGAACCAGCAGGUCAAACUGCUCCAUGCCGACUGCCACUGUCAG